RNAcentral lists this unclassified non-coding RNA (253 nucleotides) under Glycomyces salinus. RNAcentral describes it as "partial 16S ribosomal RNA". It matches the Rfam family "Bacterial small subunit ribosomal RNA", at positions 524 to 776 of the family's 1533-position model. RNAcentral also lists the same sequence under 1 other name. Lineage: Bacteria; Bacillati; Actinomycetota; Actinomycetes; Glycomycetales; Glycomycetaceae. The record is from RNAcentral.
GACGUAGGGCGCGAGCGUUGUCCGGAUUUAUUGGGCGUAAAGGGCUCGUAGGCGGCUCGUCGCGUCUGCCGUGAAAAGCUCCGGCUUAACCGGGGUCGUGCGGUGGAUACGGGCGGGCUGGAGGUAGCUAGGGGAGACUGGAAUUCUACGUGUAGCGGUGAAAUGCGCAGAUAUGUGGAGGAACACCGGUGGCGAAGGCGGGUCUCUGGGGCUUACCUGACGCUGAGGAGCGAAAGCGUGGGGAGCGAACAGG